UACGAGGGGGGCGAGCGUUGUUCGGAAUUAUUGGGCGUAAAGGGUGCGUAGGCGGUUCCGCAAGUCCUGUGUGAAAUCUUCGGGCUCAACUCGAAGUCUGCACGGGAAACUGCGGGGCUUGAGGAUGAGAGAGGUGAGUGGAAUUCCCAGUGUAGAGGUGAAAUUCGUAGAUAUUGGGAAGAACACCGGUGGCGAAGGCGGCUCACUGGCUCAUUACUGACGCUCAGGCGCGACAGCGUGGGGAUCAAACAGG
RNAcentral lists this ribosomal RNA (253 nucleotides) under uncultured bacterium. RNAcentral describes it as "partial 16S ribosomal RNA". It matches the Rfam family "Bacterial small subunit ribosomal RNA", at positions 524 to 776 of the family's 1533-position model. The record is from RNAcentral.